GUGUGUUCGUUGCAGAGUUCCAUUCAUGCAAAGAAAUAAAGCAGAGUCAAAGUUCGUCUGCAAGUGGCCUUUACCAAAUCAGUGUUGGGAAAAAUCAAACGACAGAUGUGUACUGCGAGAUGUCGUCUAUCCGAGGUUGUUCUGGUGGUGGGUGGACGAUGGUGAUGAAAAUUGAUGGAAGGAAGGAUACGUUCCGAUACAACUCCAGUUAUUGGACGAACAAGAGCGUUUACAAUGAUAAUGACCGUGGAAAAAAAGGAGGUUUUGACAACAUAGAAUUCAAGGGACAAACAUUUUGGAAAACUUCAUUCAAUGAAAUUUGUGUUGUCAUGAAAUAUGGUGGUCAACUAAGAUACUUAUCUUUCUCAUAUCCAGCAUUGUCGCUGUAUAGUCUGUUUGCAGACGGCAGGUAUCAACAAACCCACAUCGGCCGUUCAAAUUGGAGGCAACUCAUCUACCGCUCAUCCUUACAGCGUCACUGCAACAGAGAGGGAUUUAACGUGUACUCUACAGAUAUAAAUGUACGAGUUCGGUUGGGCCUGAUAGCAAACCAGCAAGAGCACUGUGACUCCCCUGAUUCUUUUAUAGGUCUGGGAGGUGGGGGUAUCAAACAAUAUUGUAGUACCCGUAUUGCUACUCUUAACACCGCCGGAAAUUAUGCAAUUUGUCAACCAGACAAGGGAGAAAAGAACGCGAAAGCAAUGGGAUACCUAUUGGUUCGUUAAAACACAUUAUUGAAAAAGACAACUGAUUUAUGUUUAUUAACCAUAAUGGCAAGGAAUUAUCACUAAGGGCGUAAUUUUCGUACACGCGAAUCGGAAUUUUUUUAAACAUUUGCUUUAUAGAAAUAGACAUCGCGUUUAUAAAACAUAUAUAGUCUACUGAGUCGACAUCAUUACAUUAACAUUGCAUAGAAUAGUAUAAUCGAAAUGGUAGUUUUCAAUCGAUAAUAAAGUUAAUCAUAC
Dendronephthya gigantea is the source of this 965-nucleotide long non-coding RNA. RefSeq lists it as uncharacterized. NCBI's taxonomy places the organism in Eukaryota, Metazoa, Cnidaria, Anthozoa, Malacalcyonacea, Nephtheidae. The transcript has 3 exons. The record is from RefSeq and is a predicted model, not a curated record.